UACGGGGGGAGCAAGCGUUGUUCGGAUUUACUGGGCGUAAAGGGCGCGUAGGCGGUCAGCACAAGUCAGUUGUGAAAUCUCCGGGCUUAACUCGGAAAGGUCAACUGAUACUGUGCGACUAGAGUGCGGAAGGGGCAACUGGAAUUCUUGGUGUAGCGGUGAAAUGCGUAGAUAUCAAGAGGAACACCGGUGGCGAAGGCGGUUCCCUGGGCAUGAUCUGACGCUGAGGAGCGAAAGUGUGGGGAGCGAACAGG
This 254-nucleotide ribosomal RNA is filed under the name uncultured bacterium. Its description in RNAcentral is "partial 16S ribosomal RNA". It matches the Rfam family "Bacterial small subunit ribosomal RNA", at positions 524 to 776 of the family's 1533-position model. The record is from RNAcentral.